ACAGGAGAUCAUGACUCCUGAUGGCUUGUGAAAUUGCGCCUGAGAUCUCACUCUGAAUCACUAUGAAGAGAAGCAGCCUGCAUGUGGGUUGGAGAAGAAGAUGUUGUCUCCCAUCUGGCUGACUUCACAGCAGACUGACAGUCUGUUGCAGUCCUCUUGUGACUCCCUGCUGCAUCGUGUUCAGCCCACUGCCAGAAGCCCCACUGAAUUAAUCCAGGCACAUUUCUGCUAAUGCAUCAGACUGAUAUCUACUUAAAUUUCAGAACUUCCUACCUCCCCAUAUUAGUGGAAAGAUCCUCUUUUAUCCUAACAUGGCACAUCACUUUAUGUCUGUACCUGCAAGAACGCUUUUAUUAAAUGUCUGGGAUAAUAAAAGAUGUUAA
This is a long non-coding RNA of Notolabrus celidotus (New Zealand spotty), 383 nucleotides long. RefSeq lists it as uncharacterized. Lineage: Eukaryota; Metazoa; Chordata; Actinopteri; Labriformes; Labridae. The record is from RefSeq and is a predicted model, not a curated record. The transcript is spliced from 2 exons.